AACCACCCGCGUCGGCUACUCCACCCAAUAGCCGCCGUGAGGAACAUGAAAGGAUCGUUCCCGCCCUGACCGGCGGUGCGGCAGUGUGGAGACCUGCCGUAAAGCGCCAGAGCGGCGCGAGGCCCUGCGCGCGGAGGCGGCAGAGCCGCGGUCAGAGAAUAUGGCA
This 166-nucleotide non-coding RNA is filed under the name unclassified sequences. RNAcentral describes it as "malK-I RNA". It matches the Rfam family "malK-I RNA". The record is from RNAcentral.